Molecule: small RNA, 2267 nt
Filed under: Histoplasma capsulatum
Lineage: Eukaryota; Fungi; Ascomycota; Eurotiomycetes; Onygenales; Ajellomycetaceae
Also listed under: 1 other name
Description: hypothetical RNA
Source: RNAcentral
GCACCGUCAUCACCACCUGUAUGAACGGAGCCCUAGGCGAAAAUGUGCUUGAAAGUGAAAGCAGUUGUGUCGACAGUGCGUUUUGAAUGCUCAGACGGACGGGAUCGUUUUUUCCAUUGCAUCUAAGUUGACCUUAGCGGUGGUUGGACGGACAGGUUGUCCUCUGCGAAGCGGUUGAUACAUAUCGCUGCAUAUACUGUAGGUGAUACAUUGUUGGACGGGUUUUUAGGGCUGGCUGAAUACUGGCAGGAAAACAUUUCAAGAAGACUAUCUAAGCUGAACAGUGCAAGGGGGCAAUAAUAUCGAGCUCGUAUUUUCUAAAUAUCUGCUGUGGAUUUGCAUGGAUAUACAUAUAUGCAUGCAUUAAUGACUGUAAUAGAUAUACAGGAAUACCCAGGCCUUAUAUGGGUCGAAGAAUCAUCGUGAUGGUCACAGUUGCGCCCAAAAUUGAAAGUCUGAUAUCGGCUCGAAAAUAUAUAUCUUGGCUCGAGAGCUGUAAAAUAUAAAUGCAUAUAGAGGAGCAAGGAGCAAGCCUCACAAUAACGUUAUUUGGUGUUGUAUUACCUAUAGACACUGCAUUUCUGACAUCCAGCAACCCUCCUGCACCCACUUGAAGAAGUAGCCUAACAUCAAGAUGAUUGAAAAAUGUAAAACACACCCCCUCAGCUCCAUAUACAUACCAUGACAGCUCGGUGUGAAAUGAUUGAAGAACGCCCCAAAGGGAGGACCGCUGUAUCAGGCUAGAAGGAGGCAGCGAUAGAAUAUAAUAUGGCAAAUGAGAAAACAUUGCACUAAGAAUCAGCCUUCUUUCCCGAGUUUCCCUAACGCCUCUGUCAAGAACUCCGUCGCAUUGACUAGAUCCGUGCUCCCAUAUACAAUUCGUCGUGACGUGGCGCCAGAUGGCCCUGAUCCUCCACCACUGCCGGAUCCGCCAACUGUGUUCGAAGAACCACUCAGCGGGCCUGCACCUGCUAAGGUUCCCCUCCCUGUUCGAUGUGCCCAAUCUUGAAGAUUGCCAUAUUCAUCCAUACUCCCACCUCCCACCGUGAAGACGAUCGCCUCGCUGAAUCCCUGUCGCCGUUGGCCGAAACUCGCGCCAGUGCCGGGUGCGGGACCACUUUGUUGAUUACGAGUCGAGGCCGCGGGGGGUACGGCGCCUCGUGCAUUCGCGCUGCGUGGAUCGAAAUAAAGGUAGUUCUCAGUCUUUGCGAUCGCGGAACUUGAUGCGCCCGCUGGAUCCAUGAUUGAUUCCGUGAUUUUGGUAAGAGUCAGAUCUUUGUUUACAGGGAGGAAGUUCUUUACGCCGGAUAUUAAGGAGUCGAAAUUCGCGCCAAGCGCGCCGGAGGUAAUGCGGUCUGUAAGGCGGUUCGAGAGCGAGGAGAAUCCACGGAAGAGGUCAGAGGAAGGUUGUUGGGUAGCAGCAGUGGCCGCGGUUGUCAUCAUCGUCAUCCGAGUAAUUUCUCGGACUCUUUUCACGAACGCUACUGCGUCAAUGUCUGUGCAUCCGGCUUGCAUGAGCGCCUCUUCAAAGCGGUUCAACUCUGCUCUUGAGAGGUCUGUUUCUGUGCUUAGGAACCAAAUUAAAAAGAACCUUAGUUUGUCGGAUGGAUCGGUGCCUCCGUUAGCAUUGCAUAAUAUUUCGAGGAUUUGUGAUUUAUUCUGCUUCAUAAUGUUUUCUUCAAGCUGGAAGUAAUUAUCUAGUUGACGAUCCUUAAUUCCCUUCAGAAGAGCAGUAGCGAUGUUCAUGUGCAUGUCGAGCAGUGCCUUGCGUUCCCGCAACUCUGGAAGAAGUGUGAUGGCAGUUUUGAGGUGUUGAGCGGAUGCGCCCAUAUCAUUUUGAAGAUCUUCGAUGGAAGAAGCGCCUGUCUUCCUCGUGAUCUCAGCCGCGUCUUCCUUGUACCGCGUCAAUUCAGCGUCAAUGUCUUCGGCCACCUGUGGAAAUGGGACGCUUGCGUUGCGGUUCCAAAAGAAAUCAUUCACACUCAAAUCAUAUGAACGUUUCGUGGUGCCCUUCGCUGGGUUUGAGUCGUCGACUGGUACGUCCACGGUGAUACGGUUAAGAUGCAUUUUCAAGACAUCAUGAACCAGUGAUUGGUAAGACCAAGAAUGGGAAAGCAUAGGAACAAGGUCCACAUUACGGUCAACGAUAAUGAGAACUGGGCGGACUGAUGGGACGCUAACACCCUGUCGUUGGGAUGCACUGGAGAACAAAUUAUCCUUUGAAUUUAAUAUGUGAUCCCUCAGUUUACGAUCGAGUUUAGUCGCAA